CCUACGGGAGGCAGCAGUAGGGAAUAUUGGACAAUGGGCGCAAGCCUGAUCCAGCCAUCCCGCGUGAAGGAUUAAGGCCCUCUGGGUUGUAAACUUCUUUUCUCUGGGAAUAAAAACCGGUAUUCAUAUUGGCUUGAAGGUACCAGAGGAAUAAGCACCGGCUAACUCCGUGCCAGCAGCCGCGGUAAUACGGAGGGUGCAAGCGUUAUCCGGAUUCACUGGGUUUAAAGGGUGCGUAGGUGGCUUUGUAAGUCAGUGGUGAAAUGCCGCAGCUCAACUGCGGAACUGCCAUUGAUACUGCUUAGCUUGAAUCACGUCGAGGUGGAUGGAAUAAUACAUGUAGCGGUGAAAUGCUUAGAUAUGUAUUAGAACACCGAUUGCGAAGGCAGUUCACUAGGCGUGUAUUGACACUGAGGCACGAAAGCGUGGGGAUCAAACAGGAUUAGAUACCCUGGUAGUCCACGCCCUAAACGAUGUAAACUCGACAUUAGCGAUAUACUGUUAGUGUCCAAGCGAAAGCGUUAAGUUUACCACCUGGGAAGUACGACCGCAAGGUUGAAACUCAAAUGAAUUGAGNGNGAGAGNGCGAGACGACGACGAGGAGGAGG
This 608-nucleotide ribosomal RNA is filed under the name uncultured bacterium. Its description in RNAcentral is "bacterial SSU rRNA". It matches the Rfam family "Bacterial small subunit ribosomal RNA", at positions 338 to 944 of the family's 1533-position model. The record is from RNAcentral.